AUCUUCCACAAUGGACGAAAGUCUGAUGGAGCAACGCCGCGUGAGUGAUGAAGGCUUUAGGGUCGUAAAACUCUGUUGUUGGAGAAGAACGUGUGUGAGAGUAACUGCUCAUGCAGUGACGGUAUCCAACCAGAAAGCCACGGCUAACUACGUGCCAGCAGCCGCGGUAAUACGUAGGUGGCAAGCGUUAUCCGGAUUUAUUGGGCGUAAAGCGAGCGCAGGCGGUUUUUUAAGUCUAAUGUGAAAGCCUUCGGCUUAACCGAAGAAGYGCAUUGGAAACUGGGAAACUUGAGUGCAGAAGAGGACAGUGGAACUCCAUGUGUAGCGGUGAAAUGCGUAGAUAUAUGGAAGAACACCAGUGGCGAAGGCGGCUGUCUGGUCUGUAACUGACGCUGAGGCUCGAAAGCAUGGGUAGCGAACAGGAUUAGAUACCCUGGUAGUCCAUGCCGUAAACGAUGAAUGCUAAGUGUUGGAGGGUUUCCGCCCUUCAGUGCUGCAGCUAACGCAUUAAGCAUUCCGCCUGGGGAGUACGACCGCAAGGUUGAAACUCAAAAGAAUUGACGGGGGCCCGCACAAGCGGUGGAGCAUGUGGUUUAAUUCGAAGCUACGCGAAGAACCUUACCAGGUCUUGACAUCUUCUGCUAACCUAAGAGAUUAGGCGUUCCCUUCGGGGACAGAAUGACAGGUGGUGCAUGGUUGUCGUCAGCUCGUGUCGUGAGAUGUUGGGUUAAGUCCCGCAACGAGCGCAACCCCUAUUAUUAGUUGCCAGCAUUAAGUUGGGCACUCUAGUGAGACUGCCGGUGACAAACCGGAGGAAGGUGGGGACGACGUCAAAUCAUCAUGCCCCUUAUGACCUGGGCUACACACGUGCUACAAUGGACGGUACAACGAGUUGCGAGACCGCGAGGUUAAGCUAAUCUCUUAAAACCGUUCUCAGUUCGGACUGCAGGCUGCAACUCGCCUGCACGAAGUUGGAAUCGCUAGUAAUCGCGGAUCAGCAUGCCGCGGUGAAUACGUUCCCGGGCCUUGUACACACCGCCCGUCACACCUAAAGUUUGUAACACCCAAAGCCGGUGGAGUAACCUUCGGGAGCUAGCCGUCUAAG
This 1105-nucleotide ribosomal RNA is filed under the name Pediococcus damnosus. Its description in RNAcentral is "bacterial SSU rRNA". It matches the Rfam family "Bacterial small subunit ribosomal RNA", at positions 361 to 1461 of the family's 1533-position model. Lineage: Bacteria; Bacillati; Bacillota; Bacilli; Lactobacillales; Lactobacillaceae. The record is from RNAcentral.